ACGCUUAGCCAAUUCUUUGACAUUCAAGCUUCUUCUGAAGUCACUCGCGUCGAUUAAGUCUUCAUUUGAUCCACUUGUUUGCUCAAGUGGCGGCCGAGGGGGUGCAAUUACACCCCCGCCUCCCCUAACAAUCGCCACCUCCUCCUGCUUGGUGGGACAUCAAUGUGUAGGAUAUGCAAGAAGACCAUUAAGGGGUGUGAAAAGUUUACCGAAUUAAUAGACUUCCGUGGAGAGUCCUUUCAGGCUUGACUGACACUUUGGAGAUGAAAGGACAACCCUCGACCCUCCUUGCCGAAUCCGAGGUUCAAAAAAUCAAAUGGCGAGGCUGCUGUAUUCCAAUUGGUCCUUUUAAUGCAGGUGGUAUUACCUGCCAGUCAGGAGCUCAAACAUAAGGAUCCCCAGCGACCAGUAAUCAGCGGAGAUGUCGUGGCCUUUGUUCAGGAUGAUCUCAGGCGCCACAUACUCAGGCGUCCCGCAGAAAGUCCACGUUUUCUUCCCGAAACCGAUCUUUUUGGCGAAACCAAAGUCCACCUGGCGAAAGACGCUUUUUAACUUGUGGAAAGUAGGAGCGAGAAAAAACACCUGGUGGAGCGCUCACCAGUUUGGCAUAGCCCCUGUGGUCCAGUAUAAGGUUCUCUGGUUUGAGGUCUCUGUAUAUGAUGCCUUUGGAAUGGAGAUACGCGAAGGCCUCCACCACGCAGCCAGUGUAAAACCUGGUGGUCGAGUCCUCGAAUGAACCACUGGAAAAAAAUGAGAGAACAAACUCGGUGAGUCAAACUCGAUUUUGAAUGAAAGAUCCAUGUGUACAUUUCGUACCGGUCCCGAAGAAUGGUCCACAGUUCUCCUCCUAAGCAGGCUUCCAUCAGCAUGUAGAGGUACUUGCUGUCCUUAAACGUUCUAUAGAGUCUGUAAAUGCAAAGUAGAAGCGCUUUGCCAAUAUGAUGGUGGCAAGCAAACAUUUGAAUAAUUGAACAAAUGAUCAUGUUUCUGUGAAAUUGACAGCGCUCAUCAAUGUGAUCAUUCGCUGCCAGAUUGGACGUCUAUCGCCGUCAAUGGCAUUGUAUUAAGGUGAGAUAUUUCUACCUAACAAUGAAAUCGGAGUGGGCCUCCUGCAUAAUGAGUUUCUCGGAGCGAAUGUGCUCCUGUUGCCUGGUGUCAACGAUGUGCCGCUUUUUAAGGAUUUUCAUGGCAAAGGUUUUGUUCUCGUCACUCUUGAGCUGAACCUGAAGAGAGAUGAUGAAACAAAAGACCAGCAGAAUUAGAAUUCAGCGCCACCUGUAUUUCCGUCAUUCACCUGCUGAGAGAAGAAACACUUGCUCACCAGCUCCACACGACCAAAGCCGCCGACCCCCAGAGUGUCGAUGAUGUUGAAAUCGGCUAGGUUAAGAUUGAAGAAAAACGCGUUCUCUGCUUCAUACCUGUGGUUGAAGAAGAAAGAGGCGGGAUUACUCUUGAGAGAAAAAAAUGAAAGACAAGAUAAUCCACAUUCAGUUUUGUCUUUCCGUUCAUUUGUUUGCAAAUCUCAGCGGAUUACGCGGGACUAAUCUAGCAGGGAUUGUCUCAAGGAUGUGAAGUGUAUGAAUACACAAAACGCUUCACUUGGAUUAAGACAUGAGUGUCCUCAGGUUGCCUCCAUUAUAAGAAUCGUAGACAUCUGCCGCCAAUCGAGACGCCUUUUGGAUUGUGUCUGUCACUGAUCCUGUCACGCCGCCUAUGUUUUCAGGUUAUUCUUUGAUCGGGAUCGUGUUCCGGCGGAUCAGGAUUUGGAUCAGUGGAUUUAAUAUUGUUCUAUUCCGCGCAAUUUGCGCAACAAGUACAUGUACGUAAUGGGAAAUAUUUUGUCUUGGGUCUAAAACUACUGUCCGAGACCAGAUCUCAUUGAAAAAAGGACAAGACCAAAACUUUCAGGAGUCUAGGCCCAGAUAAGACGGAGUCUGAGAUGUAACAAAAACCAUAAAAUUAAAUUUAAAAAAUAUAUACAUAUAUUGUGGUGACCCUUUGUUAUGACAUAAUUCACCCACCGAACUUGUGUGUGGGAGAUGUUGUGCGUCACAGUCACGUGACACAGAGACUUAAGAGCCGUGUGCGUUCCGGCUGAGUUAGCAGAGUUCA
This is a long non-coding RNA of Corythoichthys intestinalis (scribbled pipefish), 2112 nucleotides long. RefSeq lists it as uncharacterized. NCBI's taxonomy places the organism in Eukaryota, Metazoa, Chordata, Actinopteri, Syngnathiformes, Syngnathidae. The transcript has 3 exons. The record is from RefSeq and is a predicted model, not a curated record.